GCAAGGAAGACACGCCAGAGGUUUAGUCCAUGCUUUACUGGAGAUGAAUGAGCCCCAGGCCUGUCGCUGCGUCGAAGGCGGGCUGUUUAAUUCUGCUCCUGGUGACAGAAAGAAAGGCAUCUCGAAAGGAACUGCUGUAGGCAUCAUGGUCCCUCUGAAGGCACCUGAAAAUCCCAGGUUUCUUCUGGAGGUGGGAAGAACAAGGUACUGGAUUAGACAGGCCCUUGGCAGCUGCUGCGUAUGCUAUCCUUUCACUCGCUCUCCUAGUACAUAAAAUCUCUGUUGUUUUUUCAGUCCCUACCCAAACUUCCCUCUUUCUUCAGCAAGGCUUUGUAAGUGGAGAUCUUUAUCCCAGUCUGCAUCUGUAUUGCAGCUAUUUUUAACAGUUCUUAUAGAUGGAAUUGUUUUUAAUGAUACACAUUUGUAUCAUUAUUAUUUUUAAUAGUCUCACUUUAAAUUGCUUUUACACUUUUUUGUUGUUGUUUUUCUUUUAUGGCUGUAACCGUGUUCUUUGUUUUAUCAUGUAAGCCAUACUGGGGCUUUAUGGAAAACGCCAAGGAAGACAUCUAAUUCAUUAAAUAAAUAUUCAUUUAUCUGGGGUAAAUAUAUAGUAACAACAACUGAACCAUUUGCUGCCUCCAUUAUGGCUAGUAGCCAUGGAUAGCUUUAUCCUUCAUGAAAUUGGCCAGUCCUCUUUAAAGCCAUAUGAGUUGGUGGGCAUCACUCCCUCAUGUGGGAAUGAGUUCCAUAGGUUUACUAUGCACCGCAUAAAUAAAUCCUUUCUUCUUCUUCUUCUUCUUCUUCUUCUUCUUCUUCUUCUUCUUCUUCUUCUAUUGUUAUUCAUUUCAUUAUAUUUUUUGCAAACAAAAUCCAAAGUGGUUUACAACACAUUAAAACAUCAGCUAAUACAAGCCAGAAAAUAAAACUUUACUGAAGAAAUCAAAGUAUAUAUUCAAAGCAAUGUAAUUAACAGGAAACUAAAAUAUUAUCUUAAAGACUGCAAAAUAAAACAUUAUAAAACAGGUUAACUACAGAAUGCACGUGUAACACAGCAAAGUUAACUCCCCCCCAUAAUAAACUCUUAAAAAGGGAGCACGACUAAAGGAAGUCAAGUAUAAAAUGCACAUUUCAAACAGCAUAAUUAACAAAAGAAUAAUCUGCUCCAAAUAUUCCAAAAUUCUUUUUUAAAAAAUAAUAUUUAUUACUUUUAUAGAUUACAAAAAGGGAAGAGAAAAACAGAAAAAAAGACAAAGGAGAAAAGCAAAAAGGAAAAAAAAAAUACAGUACAGUAUAUAGACAAUGCAAAACACAACCUAAACUCAAAACUAAACACACCCCACUCCCUAACCUUAACCCUAAAUAAAACAAAACAAAAACAAUUUAAAAACAUACAUCAUCCCUUUUCCGUACUCUAUCUUUCAUUCCUUUGUUUCCUCGACCUCCUCUCACCUCCCUUUUUGUAUUCCACUUCUAUUAAUUGUUUCAGCAAAUCCUUUCCAUCUUUCUCCAUUUUCUAUCAUAUUGUAAAUAACGUAUUUUUUAACCUUAUUUUCGAUUUAACCUAAAAUACUUUUAUAUGCUUAACUCCUUAUAUCAUUUCUGCUAAGCCCUUAAAAUUUAUUUCCACCAUUUUUCUAUCACUCAUUAGUUUUACCAUAUGUCUAUAUAUAAACUUUAAAUUUUCCAAUCUUCUUCCACCAUCUCCUCUCCCUGGUUUCGGAUUCUGCCAGUCCUUUCCGUCAACUCCAUAAAGUCCAUCAACCUGGUGAUCUUAUGUCCGAGGCUCUUAACUCUUUCCCAAGUCCCUUCUGCAGGUCUUCUUCAUUUUCUUUAAUGCUAAAGAACAAAUCUCAGGGAAACUCCAACCUGUCAAUCCUUUUCUUCCUUCUGAAGAGAUCAGCCAAAUUUCCAUAGUUGAAGCUACAGUCCAUAAAGUAUUUCAGGGCAUAUUUCAAGAUUCCUCCAAAUCCAAAGGCCCCCAAAACUUCAAUCUCCUCCAGGCCCGAGUCCAUGUCCCAAAAGUCAGUUAAUCCCUGCAUAGAGGGAUCUUUCCAACUUUCCUUCUUUAAUCCAAGCCGGGAUCCAUUCCUCAAAGUCUGACUUUUCCUAGAUUCAAUCAUAAAAGGCCUCAACUUAUAGUCCUCAAUUUGCUUCUGUAAAGCCACGGAUCCCGCUUGUAUUACUUUAUGUUAAACAACAGUAGCUUUCUCCUUCUCCUCCUUCUCCUCCACCAUUUGUCCUGCCAAAAUGGAUUCCUGUACCAAGUCCUGGAUUAUUUCUGUGUUGGUGUUCGCUUUUUGACUCAAAUUAGUCACUUUCUGUUCCAAAUUAUCAACUUUAAAAGUCAUGUCAUCCAUCUUCUUGUGAAGCUGUCCCAGCAAACAGCUUAUCUUACAUAAAACAGUCACAAUGGCCUCUCCUGUCAACAUUUUUAAAUGGUCCAAGGUCAAUCUCUGGUUCUCAGAAUCCUUAUCUGCAGCUGGAAAUCCCCCAGUUACACUCCUGUAACAGUUUCAAAAGCUCACUCUUGAGGGAAACAGUCUCCACUUGUAUCAGUUCUUUCAGGCACAACUCAAGCAUUAAAGAUAGUUUCAAUUUUUCAGUUACUUUUCCUCUUUUUUAAACGCAGAGGAGGACAAUGGAAACAGUAUCUUACUCUUAUUUAGCUAGCUGUCAAAUCCGUUCUGUCAAUGCACUCUCUCCAAACGUCAUCUGGCAGCCUGUUCCCAGGUUCAGAGCAGUGGUAAUUUGAUUUUUCACUCUCUCCUGCAGGCUCACUAGGUCCAAAAUUCCCCCCUCUUCUCCUGCUUCCAAGGGGGGUUUUGUAUUUUAAACUGAUGGAAAUUUAAUCCUUUGCCAAAAGCUUUCAAAGACUUUAACUUGUAACGUCUUUACUUCAGUCUAUUUACAAAAACGGAAGGCGGACUUCCUGUUUAUGACCUUCCCACUUCAGUGCCAAAUUAAGAUAUUUAAAAGUCCAAUUUUCCGUUCUACUCACGGGUAGUUGUUUAAAAUCCAAAAGUCAGCGCUCUCCGGCAACAGCAAUGCGGCUUCACUCCGUGAAAGAAGCAGUCGAUUCAAAGCACCGCGCCACUCACCCCACGUCGCUCCGGAUCCCCAAAACAGGGUUUCCCCCGCGAGUAGGGGAGGCGCAAAAGGUGCCAGCCGAAUCCCAAGUUCACAAGCUUCUCCCGCUUGUGAUUUCAAUGGGUCUCCACCUUCGCCGUGGCGGUCAGACCCUGUUUUUCACGGAGCAAGUUCCUCCCGAACGGAGGAGCUCCGCCAUUGUCGGAGGCGCCAACCCGGAAGUCCGAAAUAUUCCAAAAUUCAACUUCAUUGAAUGUCCAUGAGUUCUAGUUAAAUGAAAGAGGGAAACUUUUCUUUAUCCCCUUUCCCCAUGCCAUACAUAAUUUUAUAAACUUCUGCCAUGUCACCUCUUACUCAGCUUUUUGCUAAAAUUAAAAGCCUGAAAGCUGCAAACUUUAUUCAUAGGGGAGUCACUCUGUCCUAGUGAUCAUUUUGGUUGCCCUUUUCUGAACCUUUUCCAACUCUACAAUGUCCUUUUUGAGAUGAGGCGACCAGAACAAUACACAGCAUUCGAAAUGCAGCCACACCAUAAAUUUGUAGAGCAGCAUUGGGAUAUUGACUUGGAAUAACAUAGGAAAUGGCCUUAUACUGAGUCAGACUAUUGGUCCACCUAGCUCAAUGUCGUCUACUGACCAGCAACACCUCCAGAGGGGUGAUUGCAAAGUUUAUUUCAGUAAUGUGGAUCAGGAAGCAACACCACAUAUCAGAAGGCUACUGGUCGCCCCCUUUCAAUAGCAAAACAGAAAGUAAAAAAGACUCCUACUAUCCAAAAAUGGUGCAACAAUAUUUGGAAAACAUUAACUACGGAGACAAUCUCAUGUCAGUUAAAGGCUCCAGCUAAUCCCAGAGUAAUUUAAAGGCUAGAGCAAAUCAAUUGAAAUCUCUGCUUCCUUAUUUAAUAAUUAUUUUAUAAUGAAAUGAUGACUAGUUCUAAAUGUAAUGGACAUGGCUAAUUGGAAAUACAUAAAGCCACUUGAAUACUCUUCAAUAGUACAUUAAUCAGCAGAAGAUACAUAUCUAUCUAUAUCUUUUAUUGAUUAUAUCUGUUUAACUUUUUUGACAUACAUGUGUGCCCAGCCAGAACUUUUGUUAUACCUCCUACUAGUCCUCUCUCUGUUUAUUUCUUUCCUUGAAGCUUGUUUGUUAAUUUUAGGCUGUGAUCUUAUACAUACUCACUUCGGAGUAAGUCCCAUUGAACUCAAUGCAGCUUCCUUCUGAGUAGGAACAUAUAGGACUACACUGUUAUUUAUUUACUUCAUUCUUCUAAAUAGCAUCCUAUGUCAGAAGAACCAGCUAGUAAAAAGUGGGGAGGGGGGAAAAAAUAGUUUGGUUUUUAAUUAAAUGCACAAUAUCUAUUAUUGUUGUUGGGUUUUGUUUUGUUUUUAAAGUUCUGCAUUUUUUAAAUGGAUCAGACUCCAAGGCAAAUCUAGUAUAUGGCUGUAUUGAUUUUAUUUUUUGAAAACUCUGGGACGAUCUGUUUAAGAGGAGAAUAGAAGACACUUAACUGGCACAAUCAACUCUAAAAUAUUAUACAAACCUGCUUAGUAUUUGACUUCAUAAUUUACAUUUCAUGUGCAUGGAAUGUUUUGGGGGGGUAUAUGAUAAUUGUUUGUUUUAAGCACUUUUAGAAACUGGAAUAUAAAGUGUGUGUGUGAGUGUGUGUGUGUGUGAGUGUGUGUGAGUGUGAAUUUAGCUUGGCUGGCAGGCUGCCAAUUCUGACUCUUCUUCUUUCUCUCCCCUGAUUGCUGCCUAAUUUUAAGGUGUCAUGAUCAGGCCACCUCUCCCAUCAGCUUCUCCUAUUUGAGUACACCUUUCCAAAUGUGAUGUUUUCCCAAGUCUUUUUCCUGAUAGUCACAGUGAAGUAUUAAUUAAAGGGGAAGUAUGCCAAGGCAGGGAGUCAAAAGUUCAGCUGCCAGGUUCCCCCGCCCAGGCAAUUGAACAAGAGGAAAUAGAGAGGCAAAAAAAAAAAAAAAAAACCCCCAGCCAAAUGACCACAUAGCUCAGCUCAUUAAGUGACCGGGAACCUGCCAAAGCGUGGCCAUUAAUUCCACCCAAUUGAUUGCUGCUUCCCAUUCUGCAGAGUCAGGCCCAGAAAGUACGGGUCCCAUCCCUUCUCUUGGGAAAUAUUUAUUUAAACCCAGCCCUGCGCGAACAGCCGUUUGUGAACGCCAUUUAGAGACAAGCUACGGGUUCCAAACGACCCAACACCAUUUAGAUGCGGUCACUGUAAGAGAGGGAGAGAGUGUGUGUGCGCGUGCGUGUGCUUUUUGAAGAGUGAAUAGCAGAUGGGGGAGGCAGAACUGGAACUAGACCUGGGGAGUAGGAGGAUUUAAACCAUGGGUAGGCAAACUAAGGCCCGGGGGCUGGAUCAGGCCCAAUCGCCUUCCAAAUCCAGCCCACGGAUGGUCCAGGAAUCAGCAUGUUUUUACAUGAGUAGAAUGUGUGCUUUUAUUUAAAAUGCAUCUCUGGGUCAUUUGUGGGGCAUAGGAAUUCGUUCAUUUCCCCCCAAAAAUAUAGUCCUGCCCCCCACAAGGUCUGAGGGACAGUGGACCAACCCCCUGCUGAAAAAGUUUGCUGACCCCUGAUUUAAACUCUCUGUACCCUGCUGUGGUCCAGAUCUGGAUCAAGCCUUCUCUUGUAGUGGUUAAGAGCGGUAGACUCGUAAUCUGGUGAACCAGGUUCGCGUCUCCGCUCCUCCACAUGCAGCUGCUGGGUGACCUUGGGCUAGUCACACUUCUGUGAAGUCUCUCAGCCCCACUCACCUCACAGAGUGUUGUGGGGGAGGAAGGGAAAGGAGAAUGUUAGCCGCUUUGAGACUCCUUCGGGUAGUGAUAGAGCGGGAUAUCAAAUCCAAACUCUUCUUCUUCUUCUUGCACCUGCUCUUUGCAUUGUGAGGAACCCUCCCAAAGGCUCCAGUAGGACUUGAAUGUGGUAGGGGAUUGAGGAAAAGCAGGUCCAGGAAGCCGCAUAUGGUCCAUCAGUGGCUUCUCUAUUAGGUUCUCAGGAAUGUCCCUAAACCCUGCUCUUCAUGCUACUCCCCCCCUUGAGUGUUUGCCCCCAGCUGGAAUGUGUCUUUCAUCUGUGAUAAUGGCUCUCACUUUUGCAUGCUUGGAAUAGGAAUGAGGUUGACAUCUUCUUUGGGGUACUUUUGGUGGCAGUUAAAGACUCCUUGGCUCACUGCUAGCACCCGUCUUGUGUGCCUCUUUUAUGAUGAUGUUUCACUAGUGAUUUUGAUUCUGUUGAAUUUUCAAAGGCUUUUAUAUUGUGACCCAUGACUCCUCCCCCCCCCCAAAAAAACCAUCCUCAGACCAAUGAGGACUCUGCAUGCCCCAUGGCUACAGAGUAUGUGUUGGGGGAAGUGGAACCAGACAACUAGGGGGAGGGAAUGGAAUGGAGUAUCCUGAAAUAAGGCAUGGUUGCCUGGGUCACUGAACAGGGACACUUCACACUGCAGCAAAAUAGGAACAUGGGAAGCUACCUUUUGUUGAGUCAGUCCAUUGGUCUAUCUACAUCAGUAUUGGCUACACAGACUGGCAGCAGCUCUCCGGAGUUUCAGACAGGGAGUUUCUCCCAACCCUACCUGGAGAUGCCAGGGAUUGAACCUGGGAUCUUCUGCAUGCAAGGCAGUAGCUGCUCAGCCACUGAACUACACCAUAAGAACACAAAAAGAGCCCUGCUGGUUGACCAGAUGUCUUUGGAAAUCCUAAAAGCAGCACCAGAGUGCAUUGACACACUAACCUCUUGUGAUUCACAGCAACUUCACCAAAAGAUUACAGGUCUCAGUGUUGUUCUAGUCCAGGGGUCAUCAAACUUUUUCAGCAGGGGGCUGGUCCACUGUCCCUCAGACUUGUGGGGGGCCGGACUAUAUUUUGAAGGGGGAAAAAUGAAUGAAUUCCUAUGCCCCACAAAUAACCCAGAGAUACAUUUUAAAUAAAAGCACAUAUUCUACUCAUGUAAAAACAUCAGGCAGGCCCCACAAAUAACCCAGAGAUGCAUUUUAAAUAAAAGGACACAUUCUACUCAUUUAAAAACACGCUGAUUCCCAGACCGUCCGUGGGCCGGAUUUACAAGGCAAUUGGGCCUGAUCCAGCCCCCAGGCCUUAGUUUGCCUACCCAUGUUCUAGUCAUAAGUUUGUAGGAGAAGCGUUGUUUUCUCCUCACCCCAAGCGCCUAGCAAGUGGCUAUUUUAUCAACCCACAUUAGAGAGAGAGAGAGAGAGAGAGAGAGAGAGAGAGAGAGGCUACUGCUCCUUUCAGGAUCACCCCUCCCAGAAGCUGUGCAGAUUGACAAAGGACCAUAUUCCAUCUCCCUAGCAAUAAAUGCCCUUCUGUGCCCAGUCAAAGUGAGACGGCGUUUAAUUGAAUUAAGAUUCCAGCAGGAAAGGCAAGAUGCCAGGAGCCUCCAGUUUUGCUGCCUCCUCUUCUCUCCUCCCUGACCCUCCCCCCCUCCCCACUUUCCUAAUUUCUGGGCUAACCUAACCUAGAACUGUCAUCUCCAUCCCUCGCUGCUUACUUCACUCCUCAGCAAUGUGGAAGCGUUCAAAGAGGAAGAUGUGUUGGCUGGGAUGGAGAUGGGGGCGGGAGGGUUGGGGGGGUGGGAGGAGGGUGAGAGCGUGUUUUCCCAGGCUCGUUGAGAUUCAUAAAUUUAACUCGGGGUGCGGGGUGGAAGUAAGGGAACAAAGAGAAGAAAGCAGCGAGAAAGGCUGGCUUGCUGGGAGGAGCGGCGCAACAGCUCCGAAACGGUUAAACCAAGGCAGCCGCCCAGCACCGUAGGGGCAAAGAUGCCCAUGUUUCGGAAGCUUUUGACAGGAGAGCCGCUGGCUGGCAUCCAGGGCUUCAGGGGUAUACAAAAGGGGCUGAGGCUUUGCUGCCAAACACAGCUCUUGUCUAUAGCCGUUCUCCAAAGAGUUGUGUGCCAUAACAAGGCCAAUUUUAAGAAGCUGGGACUGCAGUUUUAGGGGCGCAGGAAGCUGCCAUCUACCAAGUCCAUAUGGUGGCUGGUCCAUAUAUAAGAACAGUUUUAAGAACAUAAGCAGAGGCCUCCAGGAUCAGGCCAGGGGCCCAUCUAGUGCAGCAACCUGUUCUCACAGUAGCCCAUCAGAUGCCGCAAGGGGAAGGAUGCAACCAGGCCCAGAAUGCAACAGCAACACUUGUAAUUCCGGUCCAGUGGUAUUCAGAGGUAUUCUGCCUCUGACAGUAGAGGGAAAGCACAGCUAGCAGCCUCAUCCUCCAUGAAUCCUCUUUUGAAGUCUCCUAAACUGGUGACCAUCACUAAAUCACGUGGGAGCAGAUUCUAUGUAAGUUGCAUGAAAAAGUACCGUAUUUUUCGUUCUAUAAGAUGCACCAGACCAUAAGACGCACCUAGUUUUUGGAGGACGAAAACAAGAAAAAAAAAUAUUCUGAAUCCCAGAAGCCAGAACAGCAAGAGCGAUUGCUGUGCAGCGAAAGCAGCAAUCCCUCUUGCUGUUCUGGCUUCUGGGAUAGCUGCGCAGCCUGCAUUCACUCCAUAAGACGCACACACAUUUCCCCUUACUUUUUAGGAGGGAAAAAGUGAGUCUUAUAGAGCAAAAAAUAUGGUACUUUUCUUUAUCUUCCCUGAACCUUCCAUUGGAUGGCCUUGAGUUCCAGUACUUGGGGGACGGGGACUUCUCCCUAUCCACUUUCCAGCGGUUCUCAACCUGUGGGUCCCCAGAUGUUGUUGGACUACAACUCCCACCAUCCCUGAGCUCUGGCCUUGCUAGCUAGGGGUGAUGGGAGUUGUAGUUCAACAACAUCUGGGGACCCACAGGUUGAGAAAGGCUGCUCUAGACCAUAUAUAAUUUUAUACACCUCUACCAUGUCUCCACCUUGAGCCAUAUCUGUCUAAACCACAAGGAGACAAGAAGAAGUAAAGGUACAGGGAUAGUCUGGGCACGUGGAUGUCCCUCACUCAAUCUGUCUUAAACACCAUGCAAACCCCUCUUCUGCAGAGAGAGACCUACAAGGCCAGGUUGGUUCCUAGGAAACAUCUAUUACAGGACAGACCAAGGAGAGAAAACUGUUGAAUUGUAGCCCAUGCUAGCCCUACUCAAGAGAAGACCCAUUGAAAUUAACAGCCUUGACCAACUCAGGUCCACUCAUUUCAAUGGGUCUACUCUGAGUAGUAGAACGUAGUUGGCUACAUUAUCACACGUGAAACGUACAAGAGAGACGUCACCUGUAUUCUUGGCAUAUCAGAAAAUUGUCUUAAUGUUUUGUAAGCAAAGCGGGAUAGCAUUAUAGAACGUAGCACUCUGUAGCUCUUUCUUUUUGCUGGUCAACAGACCGAAUGCUUCCCUAUCUCUCCUAUCAAGAAAUCUUCCUUUUCCCCUUCUCUGCUCCCCCCCCUUUCUGCAAAAUGCACCCCCCCUCCAUCUUAAUCACAAAUGCCCAGCUCUCUUGUCCCAUUCAAUAUGCACCCCCUGCUGCGUCCUUUAGAACCCGGGGAAAGGAUAACUUCAGCAACAGCUGCUGGCUCAAACUUCCCUUGGCAAUCACAUCCUCCUCCCCACCAUGAUUAUUUCCCUGCCCCCAGCCCAAAGAAGUCCCCCUCCCCCUCCCAAUAGAAGAGAGUCUAUAUACUCCCUGCAAAAGCCCAUGCUGAAAAAGCCCUGAAAAAGCCCAUGGCAUGCAUUUCCGUUGUCUCAAGCCCAGCUCAACGUAUGCAUGAAGUCGCGUCCUCAGUUGCUGUGCAUGUGUGCAAACUCUCUCACACACAGGGAAGUAUAGAGGGGGGAAAUGCAAACAGUGGCGCCAAAAGACCAUGAAAUGCAAGAGGUGAAAGACAAGCACAGUGACAGCGGAGGUACUAAAUGGCCUUUGCUGACUGCUCCCUCUCUCAUCAUAAUUCUAGAACUCAGGGACAUCCAAUGAAGAUCAGGACAAACAAAAGAAAGGACUUCUUCACACAGCCUGAAGUUAAACUAUGGAAUUAGUUCCCACAAGAGGCAGUGAGGGCCAGCAUCUUGGGUGGCUUCAAAAAAGAGGAUUAGGCAUAUUCAGGCAGGAUAAGCCUUUCAGUGGCCACUAACAAUGAUGGCCACAUCCACUGCUGGAGGCAGCAUGCAUCUGAAUACCAGCUGCUUGAAGCCACUGUGAGAACAGCAUGUGGACUAGGAACAUAGGAAGCUGCCUUAUACUGAGUCAGACCACUGGUCCAUCUAGCUCAGCAUUGUCUACACUGAUAGGCGGUGGGUCUCCAGGAUUCAAGGCAGGAGUUUCUCCCAGCCCUACCAGGAGAUGAACCUGAGACCUGCUGCGUGCAAAUCAGAUGCUCAGCCCCUGACCUAUGGUUGUUAUGAAGCUUUGGCCUGAGCCAGCAGGGCCCAUAUUAUGCUCUUAAAGGUAAAGGGACCCCUGACCAUUAGGUCCAGUAGCAGACAACUCUGGGGUUGCGGCGCUCAUCUCGCUUUAUUGGCCGAGGGAGCCGGUGUACAGGUUCCGGGUCAUGUGGCCAGCAUGACUAAGCCGCUUCUGGUGAACCAGAGCAGCGCACGGAAACGCCGUUUACCUUCCCGCCAGAGCGGUACCUAUUUAUCUACUUGCACUUUGACGUGCUUUCAAACUGCUAGGUUGGCAGGAGCAGGGGCCGAGCAACGGGAGCUCACCCCGUCACGGGGAAUCGAACCGCCGACCUUCUGAUCAGCAAAUUCUAGGCUCUGUGGUUUAACCCACAGCACCACCCGCGUCCAUUAUGCUCUUAGGUUCUCUCUAAUAGCAAACGCAAGAGGUGGAAAAAAUGAAGCCCAAACAGGGCUGCUGAGAGGUGUAAGUGUGCUUUGCAAAAGUUUGAAGUUUUUUUUUUAAAAAAGAACAUGAACACCAAUGAAAUACUGAGAAGAGGACUUGGGAAGAAUAUAAAUUCUGUUUAAUUUGCCUUCCCCUUCCCGAUUAGGUAAAAAAGGUAAGGUAAAGGACCCCUGGAUGGUGAAGUCUAAUCAAAGGCGACUAUGGGGUGCAGCGCUUAUCUUGCUUUCAGGCCGAGAGAGAUGGCGUUUGUCCACAGACAGCUUUCCGGGUCAUGUGACCCGCAUAACUAAAGCGCUUCUGGUGCAACGGAACACUGUGAAGGAAACCAGAGCACACUUUCCCGCCACAGCGGUACCUAUUUAUCUACUUGCACUGGCGUGCUUUUGAACUGCUAGGUUGGCAGGAGCUGGGACAGAGCAACGGGAGCUCACCCCGUCGCGGGGAUUCGAACCGUCGACCUUCAGAUCAGCAAGCCCAAGAGGCUCAGUGGUUUAGACCACAGUGCCACCAACAUCCCAAUUACAUUACACUAGAAACAGUGACAAGAAACCUCUAAGUCAGGUGGCCAAAUGUGUCCUACUUUACAGCAGGCAGACCUCCGCCUGAAGGGCAGUCAGGGGACAGUCCUCUAUUUGAAGGCAUCCCCACUUUGAAAGGCUGCCUGAACGAAGCCUGAGUUAAAGAACUUGGACAGCAGGAACACAGGAUUUGUCCCUCUUCUCUUUAAAUUCAAGUCAUCCUUCUGAAAUUUGCAUCUAUAGAUGUAAAGUAGUUAUUCACGUUUUAAUGCAUGGCUAUAUCCCCUGCCUGUCCUUUUUUUGGUGAUGUGUACAUUUAUAUUUAUUGUUAUUAUAAAAUGUAUCACCCAGCCCUUCCCCAGCAGGUGCUAAGGCACUUACAACAAUAUAAGAUUCAAAAUUAAAAACAGUUAAAUCUGGUUACAGUCACAGGAAAAGGGUGUGCCCUAAAAACACACAUUUCAGGUGUCAAAGGUCAGGGUAAAGAGGCCGCAUGGUCUAAUGCCUGCAUGACCCCAGGCUGAACAAUCUCAAAUAUUGGAAGUAAUAUUUCAUAUCAGAUUAGGCAGGGGAGACAGUACAGUGCAGCAGUUAGAGGGUCAGACAAAUCCCUGGGAGACUGGGGUUCAAAUCCCUACUUGGCCAUGAAGCUCACUAGGCGUCACAGUCUCAACCUAGCCUACCUCACAGAGUUGUUGUGAAGUUUAAAAAGAAUGAAGGAAGAAAACAUUGCAUGCCACCUUGAGCUCCUUGGAUGAACGGUGAGAUAGGAAUGUAAUGUAAUAAAACAAUAAAUUCACAGAGCAAUCAUUUUCCAUUUCAGUUAACUGAACAGAAUUGUAACAUAUGCUAUGAUAUGGGGUGUCUUGCUGGGAGGGAUAGAGGCAAUGCAUUUCCAAGAAAGGGAACAAAAAUCUGCAUAAAAUUUGUAUAUGCUAAUUCCAAGGUGUAGAUGCUAAUUUAGAAGUGCUGCAAUUUAAACAGAAAUGCAAUGGGAAGGACUUUGGCCAGGUGACUUGCUUGAUAGGUAACAAUGGACGAUGUUAAAGCCCCAUCCCACUCUCCUUUCUUGGGAUUCUUCCUCUCUGAAAUAUAGAGGAUUCCUUCAAAUAGAGGACUUUCCUGGAUAACGCAGGACGCAUACGAACAGAGCUUCCCUUCUAAAUUUCCUGCUGGGUGGCAAGGCAAGGGUUAACACAGCCCAGUUCUCAAGAGGUGGUGUUGUUGACAGCUGUGAUGAAUGAGGCAUGAAUCCACCUCUGGCUGGACUGAGAGGCAGGAUGGGGGUGUGCGGAGGAGAGAAAAUUACCAUUAUCCACACCCCAUGCUCCCCUUGCUCAGCAGGAAGAUCUUUCUUCUCUGUUUUGGCACUGGGAGACUGUCUCAGGGCACGAACUCCAGGUCACUUCACAGGGGGAACUUGCUCCUUCCUUACACCCUUGAAACACCCUUGCUUGCUCACAUCCAGGGUGGCAAAACAAUCCCCCACACACCCACUUCCCAGACUGACUAUUUCUAAGGCUGUAUCAUUAAGUGGUGAUUAACACCAGGAAAGGCCUACUUUAACUGGCAGAGUCGAAAGCAAAAGGUUUUCUGGGCUUUUUGUUUAGCGUAGACUUACUUGUCCUGAUCAAGGAUAAGCAAUAGUAUGUACUGCUCUAUUCUACCUUAAUCAGAACCCCCUGGAGUCCUGUGUCCAGUUGAAGAAGGAUAUUGGCAAGCUGCAACACGUGGAGAGGAGGGUGACCAAGAUGAUCGGGGAUCUGAAACCAAGCCUUAUGAAGAAUGGUUGAGGGAGUUGGGUAUGUUUAGCCUGGAGAAGAGAAGACCAAUUUUCAUGUCUCUUUUGUAGGAAAUGUAUACAGUCUUACCUCAGAAGCCCAAGAGAAUCCAUUCUGGAAGUCCGUUUGACUUCCAAAACAUUCAGAAACCAAAGCACAGUUUCCGAUUUGGACGUUCAGCUUCCAAAAUAAGUUCACGAACCGGAACACACACUGCCGUGUUUGCGGCGUUCGGGAGUCAAAAUGUUCGACUCGCAAGGCGUUUGACUUCCAAGGUAUGACUGUACUUGUUUGUGUGUUCUGUCACAUGGAAGAUGGAGCAAGCUUGCUUUUUGCUGCUCCAGGGAGUAGGACCUGAGGCAAUGGAUUUGAAUCUACAAGAGAUGACCCUUGGGGUCCCUUCCAACUUUACAAUUCUAUGAUUCUGCGAGUAUUUAUAGCAUGCUUCAUAGCUCCCAGAGGGCUAUAUUCUCCCUCCACUGUCGGUGGCAGUACAGUCUCUGAAUACCAGAUGAUGGCAAUCACAGGUGGGGAUAAUGCUGUUGUGCGCAGGUCCUGCUUGUGGGAUUCCCAUUGGUCUAUAGCUGGCCACUGUGAGAGUAGGAUGUUGAUUUCGAUGGACCUUUUGCCCAAUCUAGGCCUAGGCUCUUCUUACAUUUCUGCAUUCUUAACCAGGGUGGAAUCCACACACACAUUAAAAAAACGCUGUGCCAAUGCUUUUUUAAAAAACGUUUUGAAAAAUACAUUGGAAUUGCCAUAGCUCACUGUCGCCAUCUAGUGUCACCUUUGUAUAUUGCACUUUACUUAAAACAUUUUAUUUGCAGCUGUGUAGCUGAGUCCUAUGAUUAUUUCGUCCACACUUUCUGCUCUUGUCACCGGUCUUCUCUUGUGCCAACCUAGGCAGGCAGCUGCUGAGGACCUCUGAAUCAGGAGACAUAUUAAAAUGCUGUAUAUUGGGGAAAAUAUCCUUGCAAAACUGUGCAUAUUAGGCAAAACCACAUAGAAUAAUAUUUAUAGUGGGGAAAAGCUGCACUUAAACAUUAGUGAACUUUUAUUAGGUUAAGGUCUGGUUAACUACAAUAACACCCCCCUUUUUUUCCUUUCUUUUUUGGUUCUGUUUUGUUUUCUACAUAGGUACUAGUUUCUUCUUCUUUUUGUGUCUUACCUUACUCUGCACACUUGUAAUUAUGUACUUUUUAUUUUUCAAUAUAGAAUAUAAAAUGAUAAUAAUAAAAAAGAAUUUGCUAAUGGAUGUUGAGAUCUGAAGACUGGAAAAAAUGAGAAACUGAAAAGUUUCCCCCAUUCCUACCCAUUGCAGCCCAAUCAAUCAAUAUCCAGUCAUGUUGGAGAUGGUUUGUUCUGCCAUGAUCAGAUUGAGGAGGCCUUUUAGAAGGAGCCUGGACAGCUGGAGACUUUGGGUUCACCAGCAAGGAAAUGCAUAUUGGAAGACACAAGAUCUACCCACCUUGGAAGAAUGGCAGAUGAAGGUGAUGGACUAUAUGGAAGUGGCGGAAAUGACUGGCAGAAUCCGAGACCAGGGAGAAGAGUCGAUGGAAGAAGAUUGGAAAAAGUUUAAAGACUAUCUACAGAAAUAUUGCAAAAUUAAUGAAUGUUAGAAUGAUGUUGGAUAGAAACUAAGUGCUCUUUAGCUGAAAUGUUAUAAGGGAAUAUGAAAGAAUGGUUUAUUAAUGGGUAAAAAUCUAAAAUUACAAUAUUCUAUGAUUAAUGAUUAGGAUAUACAAAGAGGGGAGGGAUUUGCUGAACUAUCAACUGAACUGGAAUACAAAAAAGGGAGGUGUGAGGAGGUCCUGAAAACUAAGCAAAUGAAGGAUAAGUAAUGGAAGGAAGGAAUUGUUUUUAACCAUUUUUACUUUGUAUUUUUUCUUUUUUCUUUUUGUUUUGUUUUGUAAUAUUCUGAAAAUCCUAAUAAAUAUCUUAUAAAAAAUAAAAAAAAGGAAAUGCAAAGGCUCCAGGCAGCUGAUGCUGAAAGGGCCACCAUGUAACACCAAGGAAGGCAGCAUCUGUUUGCAGGCCGGAGGGCCUCUUCUCCCCUCAGCGGAACGAAGUGCCUGCAUGCCAAGAAUAUGGCGUGCGGAUGGCUUUGUGGGGUAUAUAUAAUGCAGCAUUCACAAGAGCCGGGGAGCAGAUGUUUCUCUGUAGGUGAGAAGGUGGCCGAGCCUCUCCUCCAGGGGAAAGCAAUGCCCUCAUUGUUUGAGCAUUCCGCUCUCUAGGCUCUACAGAUGUGUCUGAUCUCAUUCAGACCGGAUGGAGAGCUCAAGGCGGAGGAGGCGCAGGCUCGAGGCAGGCCUGCCGCAAGCGUUUGGCACGUUGGGGUGUGAAUGAGAAGGUGCGGAAAGAUCCCCAUCCCAUUCUUGGACGGACGCUGGAGAUUGACAAGCCGCACGCCAUGCAGAUCGUUCUACGCGGCACUAGUGUGGUUUAGUGGUUAGAAUGUCGGACCAGAACCUGGAGACAAGGGUUCGAAUCCACACCUGGCUAUGAAGCUCACUGGGCGAUUGUGGGCCUCUCAGCCUAACUGACCUAUGAGGAGGAAGAGAGCUCCUUUAAGAAAGGGAUGGGAUGACGGUAAAAUGCAGGGCAUGUGUGCUGUGUCCUUCUUCUGAUAGGAACUGCUUGAGAGGGGAAUGGGGGGGUCAAGGAGGUUCAGUUGUGGGGGAGUGAAAAAGGUCCCUAUUUUCAUCAGAGGAAUGCUGGAGGGUAUGCAAGCAUGGAGACAGCAGACUCAGCAGGCCCCCAGCUCACCUCGUCUCAGCCUUCCACACCAUGGUCAGGUGCACUCUAAGUUAUAUUAACUAUUGCAAAGUAGAUGGGGCUGAGAGUGAAUGACUGGCUCUAAGUGUGCUUCACAGCUGAGUGGGGAUUUGAACCCUGGUGUCCCAAAUCAUAGUUCAGCACUCUAACCUGGCUGGCUGGCUGUUUCUUAUCUUUGCCCUCUAGCAAGUCGACCCAUCCUAGUUUGGGUUGUGUGUGUGUUUCAGCUCACCACAUACCUGUGAGCUUCACCCCCAGGCCUAGCAACAGUUGCCCACUUGGUGUGAGAUUCCCCCACUUCAUCUUAACGAGGUGCCACGGGUUAGGAACAGCUUGUCAACAUCGUUAAGUAAGCUUUGCUGUGCCGGAAACAAGCCAGGUCUGCUGGGCAUUCCUGGAGUUUGAAAGGCGGCAGCAUGCCAGAAAUCAGCACUCAGGGGCUUGUAAAUCUCCAAGAACCAACCCUAGAACAGACUGGCCUUCCUCUGCUGAUGAGGACGAUGAUGGAACAUUUAUUAUGCAGUCCCAGCCACACUUACCCCUUCAGGUGCCCUUUUCAUUUGUGAAUUCACGGUGGGUUUGUGCCCUUGAUGGUAGUGGAGCAGUUAAGCCAUCGCAUUUUCAAUGCCAUUUGUUUUGCAGGUUUCAGGGCAGUCAUACUCCUUCAUUUCCAGUUAGUGCAUGUCCCCUCACUUCCUGCUGAAUUUCCGUAAGUUUUUAAUACUGUAAUUAUGUGUGUUUAUUUGGAAAAGUGCUAACUAAGCUUUGGGAAGGAGGUAGGGGGACUUUAGGACCCUGUCACAGCCAUCACACCUCCUUUGCAAAGCCCAGAGCCUCCUUACUUUGGGAAGGCAGUGCAGGGGCCACUAGGGGUGUCAAAUGUUGCUGAGGGCUGCAAGCGAUCCAGACUGACUCCCCACCAAUAACAAUAUACUAUAACAAUACACCACAUCAGCUAUAACAAUAGACAACAUCAGGCACUUUGCCAAGCAGGUGUGCUCCAGCUGUUUUGGGCUACAACUUCCUGCCGGCCCAGACAGUGCUGGCUAGGGCAGGUAGAAGUUGUAGUCUAAUACAGUUGGUGGGGAAUACCAGGCUGGGGAAGUGUCUAAUACAGUAUAUAUUUUCCAGAAGAGCAAGUACCCUCCUGGCUUUUAAAUCUGCACAGGCUACCACAUAUGAGCAUAUCAUAAGAGCUGGUUAUUCAGCAGUGCUAUGUAAUCAUGUAAGUGAAGAGAGCACCAAAGUCAAAUCUGAGGAAUCUCCUUGGCUUCCUUUCAGAAGUGGGUCACAUGCCAGUUGUGGGCGAGACCAGAGAGAAAAGUGGGUGGAGCUAUGGAUUUAAUUAUUUUUAUUUUUUUAAAAAUACCCUGCUUUGCACCUCAUCUGGGUCUCAAAGCGGCUCACCAAAAAGAGAGAAAAGAACAUACAAUAUACUUCUCUGAAUUUUGCAGUACAGUCGUACCUUGGAAGUCGAACAGAAUCCUUUCCGGAAGCCCUUUUUGAAAACCUUUUGAAAACCUUUUUGAAAACCUUUUGGCGCAGCCAAUCAGAAGCCGCAGAAGCCCUGUCAGACGUUCAGGUUCCAAAACAACGUUUGCAAACCGGAACAAUCACUUCCAGGUCUGCGGCGUUCAGGAGCCAAAACAACUGAGUUCCAGGCCGUUUGACAACCAAAGUACGACUGUAUAGUUCUUCAGCCACGGAAUGUGUCCAAAAGGGCAUUUGCCACUGUAAAAUGUCCCCAUACAGUAAUUUAUUAGUGAAAAUGACAUACAGAAAUGCAUUAUAUUAGGGGAAUUUUACCAAAAUGUGUAUACUAGGAGAAAUUUGCACUAAAAUGCAAAACAUUUUAGGACUGAAACAAAACCUGUUGUGGAGAACUGAAUUUAAGACCGGAAAAAUGAACAACUGAGACUGACAAGAUUCACCCACCCCAAAUCCUGGUGUACCUUCUUCCCACCCCUGCCUUUUUAAAGGAGCAGAAACAAACUGGGCCCCUUCCCAAUCAGUUGGCAACCUUACGUUAAGCCAGCUGUCCAGGGGAUUCAGACUCUGAAAGGCAAAAUCUGUGGAACAUGUAAAUACUUUUUAAAGCACAAUUAUCCUGCCAUUUGAAAGGCAUCAUACAUUAUUCCCACAAAGGGGUAGCAGAGCACAUAACUGUGCAGAUGUGGCAGGCCCGGCCCCAGGGCAGUGAAAGGAACUGGGGUUUUGGGGUGGGGGAGGGCAGUGUUUCCUGCUGACAUCCCUCCACCCCUUAUGAAGAUGGCGGGCUUUGAUCUUAGGCAAGACUAACAGUCAUUUAUGAUAACCAGCUGGGAGGAGGCUGCUAUGAUGGCCCCUCUCCUUGUGUUGCUUCCAACCCUGGGACCCCUGACUUUUGAACUCUGACCCCCCACCGUCUCAGUGCCCCACUGCAGGGAGCCUCCAGAGCUGAGAUAAUGAAGAUCAUGAAAGUGAAUAGAGCCAAGAGAAGAAAUUAUGCCACUGAUGACCGGGAGGCUAAGAAUGGACGAAUAAGCCAAUUUCACUUUCUAAUUCCCCCUCCCCCUCCCAGCCUUAACCUCCAUUCUCCAUAUUUCCACAUUGGCUUGAAUAUAUGGGGGCUUGAGUGUGUGUUGUAUCCCCUUGUGAAAAUUCAACAGAGUUUUAGUGUGAAUUUCUCCUAAUAGACACACUUUCGUAUGCAAUUGUUCCUAAUAUAAAGACGUUUCUGUAUGCGAUAGUCCCUAAAUAUGUUCUAAAUGUUAUCUCCACCAAUAUAGGCAUUAUUAAUGCACACUUCACCCCAGUUUAUGCAUUUUUGCACACAUUACUUGGCAGAAGAACUGCAUUCCAAAUCUGGAGAAGUACGAAUUUUGAAGGAUAACCGGGUUGAGUUCCACGUAUUAUUUUGGAGAAUGCAAAUUAGGUAAGUUCCCUUUUAAAUGCGAACUGAAUAGAGUUUCUCCACUCUCCCUAACAGAAGAUGGAUCAGGAUCUACCAGUAAAUCUCUGAGUGAUUUUCAGUAGAUCACGGCGAGGGAUGCCUAGCGGCUCCUAAUGGAUUCCACCUCAUUUAUGAAUUCUGGAUCCUGUGCAAGUUGCCUAAAUGUGGACACAAACACCACUCAGACUGGCUGGAGACAGGAGACUUUUGAAGACAUUUUGAAGUGUAUACUUGCAAUGCUGGAUUACUAAAUAGGCAGAGUAGGCACCACGGUGCCUAUGAUGUCUUUUAGGGGCCUCACGACAAUGGAUCAAAAUAAUAUUGUGUAAUAAAACUG
This is a non-coding RNA of Podarcis lilfordi (Lilford's wall lizard), 19193 nucleotides long. The record is from the annotation of a GenBank genome assembly. NCBI's taxonomy places the organism in Eukaryota, Metazoa, Chordata, Lepidosauria, Squamata, Lacertidae.